GGCCCAAGGUGGAAAAAGGGCUUCAGGGGGAGCGGUCCUCCCCAAGACUCAAAGGCCCAGCAACAGCAGCAAUGUCCCGAGGCCUCCUUGGAGCCUUAUAUGCUGUGGUGGAGUAUGGGGCCCGCCCCCAGGCCCAAGGUGGAAAAAGGGCUUCAGGGGGGAGCGGUCCUCCCCAAGACUCAUAGGCAAAGCAACAGCAGCAAUGUCCCGAGGCCUCCUUGGAGCCUUAUAUGCUGAGGUGGAGUAUGGGGCCCGCCCCCAGGCCCAAGAUGGAAAAGCGCCUAACGCCUGGGGCGGUCCUCCCCAAAACUCACCGGCAAAGCAACAGCAGCAAUGUCCCGAGGCCUCCUUGGAGCCUUAUAUGCUGUGGUGGAGUAUGGGGCCCGCCCCCAGGCCCAAGGUGGAAAAAGGGCUUCAGGGGGGAGCGGUCCUCCCCACAAACUCACGGCAGAGCGGCAGCAGCAAUGUCCCGGGCCUCCUUGGAGCCUUAUAUGCUGUGGUGGAGUAUGGGGCCCGCCCCCGGCCCAAGGUGGAAAAAGGGCUUCAGGGGGGAGCGGUCCUCCCCAAGACUCACCGGCAAAGCAACAGCAGCAAUGUCCCGAGGCCUCCUUGGAGCCUUAUAUGCUGUGGUGGAGUAUGGGGCCCGCCCCCAGGCCCAAGAUGGAAAAAGGGCUUCAGGGGGGAGCGGUCCUCCCCAAAACUCACCGGCAAAGCAACAGCAGCAAUGUCCCGAGGCCUCCUUGGAGCCUUAUAUGCUGUGGUGGAGUAUGGGGCCCGCCCCAGGCCCAAGGUGGAAAAAGGGCUUCAGGGGAGCGGUCCUCCCCACAAACUCACGGCAGAGCGGCAGCAGCAAUGUCCCGGGCCUCCUUGGAGCCUUAUAUGCUGUGGUGGAGUAUGGGGCCCGCCCCCAGGCCCAAGGUGGAAAAAGGGCUUCAGGGGGGAGCGGUCCUCCCCAAGACUCACCGGCAAAGCAACAGCAGCAAGGUCCCGAGGCCUCCUUGGAGCCUUAUAUGCUGUGGUGGAGUAUGGGGCCCGACCCAGGCCCAAGGUGGAAAAAGGGCUUCAGGGGGGAGCGGUCCUCCCCAAGACUCAUAGGCAAAGCAACAGCAGCAAUGUCCCGAGGCCUCCUUGGAGCCUUAUAUGCUGUGGUGGAGUAUGGGGCCCGCCCCCAGGCCCAA
Podarcis lilfordi (Lilford's wall lizard) is the source of this 1178-nucleotide non-coding RNA. Lineage: Eukaryota; Metazoa; Chordata; Lepidosauria; Squamata; Lacertidae. The record is from the annotation of a GenBank genome assembly.